GAUGAAGAACGUAGCGAAAUGCGAUAAGUAAUGUGAAUUGCAGAAUUCAGUGAAUCAUCGAAUCUUUGAACGCACAUUGCGCCCGUCAGUAUUCUGGCGGGCAUGCCUGUUCGAGCGUCAUUACGCCCCUCAAGUCCCCUGUGGACUUGGUGUUGGGGAUCGGCGAGGCUGGUUUUCCAGCACAGCCGUCCCUUAAAUUAAUUGGCGGUCUCGCCGUGGCCCUCCUCUGCGCAGUAGUAAAACACUCGCAACAGGAGCCCGGCGCGGUCCACUGCCGUAAAACCCCCCGACCACGGAGCCCCGGCUCCUGAACGUUGACCUCGGAUCAGGUAGGAAUACCCGCUGAACUUAAGCAUAUCAAUAAGCGGAGGA
This 372-nucleotide unclassified non-coding RNA is filed under the name soil metagenome. RNAcentral's name for it is "partial contains 5.8S ribosomal RNA, internal transcribed spacer 2, and large subunit ribosomal RNA". The stretch from base 1 to 120 matches the Rfam family "5.8S ribosomal RNA", at positions 35 to 154 of the family's 154-position model. The record is from RNAcentral.